RNAcentral lists this ribosomal RNA (1221 nucleotides) under Salmonella enterica subsp. enterica serovar Newport. RNAcentral describes it as "partial 23S ribosomal RNA". It matches the Rfam family "Bacterial large subunit ribosomal RNA", at positions 717 to 1837 of the family's 2925-position model. Lineage: Bacteria; Pseudomonadati; Pseudomonadota; Gammaproteobacteria; Enterobacterales; Enterobacteriaceae. The record is from RNAcentral.
GAAACCCGGUGAUCUAGCCAUGGGCAGGUUGAAGGUUGGGUAACACUAACUGGAGGACCGAACCGACUAAUGUUGAAAAAUUAGCGGAUGACCUGUGGCUGGGGGUGAAAGGCCAAUCAAACCGGGAGAUAGCUGGUUCUCCCCGAAAGCUAUUUAGGUAGCGCCUCGUGAAUUCAUCUCCGGGGGUAGAGCACUGUUUCGGCUAGGGGGCCAUCCCGGCUUACCAACCCGAUGCAAACUGCGAAUACCGGAGAAUGUUAUCACGGGAGACACACGGCGGGUGCUAACGUCCGUCGUGAAGAGGGAAACAACCCAGACCGCCAGCUAAGGUCCCAAAGUCAUGGUUAAGUGGGAAACGAUGUGGGAAGGCCCAGACAGCCAGGAUGUUGGCUUAGAAGCAGCCAUCAUUUAAAGAAAGCGUAAUAGCUCACUGGUCGAGUCGGCCUGCGCGGAAGAUGUAACGGGGCUAAACCAUGCACCGAAGCUGCGGCAGCGAACGUAUCACUUAAAGCGAUUCAGCGGGUUACGAUUGACGGAGCGAAGCGACGUCAAAGCGUAUACAAAGUCGAGUCGGUUUAAGGAUACGUUCGUUGGGUAGGGGAGCGUUCUGUAAGCCUGUGAAGGUGGCCUGUGAGGGUUGCUGGAGGUAUCAGAAGUGCGAAUGCUGACAUAAGUAACGAUAAAGCGGGUGAAAAGCCCGCUCGCCGGAAGACCAAGGGUUCCUGUCCAACGUUAAUCGGGGCAGGGUGAGUCGACCCCUAAGGCGAGGCCGAAAGGCGUAGUCGAUGGGAAACGGGUUAAUAUUCCCGUACUUGGUGUUACUGCGAAGGGGGGACGGAGAAGGCUAUGUUGGCCGGGCGACGGUUGUCCCGGUUUAAGCGUGUAGGUGUGUGUUCCAGGUAAAUCCGGUUCACUUUAACACUGAGGCGUGACGACGAGGCACUACGGUGCUGAAGCAACAAAUGCCCUGCUUCCAGGAAAAGCCUCUAAGCAUCAGGUAACAUCAAAUCGUACCCCAAACCGACACAGGUGGUCAGGUAGAGAAUACCAAGGCGCUUGAGAGAACUCGGGUGAAGGAACUAGGCAAAAUGGUGCCGUAACUUCGGGAGAAGGCACGCUGACACGUAGGUGAAGUGAUUUACUCAUGGAGCUGAAGUCAGUCGAAGAUACCAGCUGGCUGCAACUGUUUAUUAAAAACACAGCACUGUGCAAACACGAAAG